CGCUCCUUUGAUCAGACGCAGGAUGCGGCCAAUCCUGGCAAGACGGAUCACUCGAAACAGGAGAACACGUUGUUAAACAUUUAUCUGGUCAUUAUUGGGACAAGCAGAAGAAGAGAAAAUUUUGAAGGAGAGGGAGCCUAAGUGGUAAAGGGGAAUAUUUGAUUGGAAAACAUACUUGCAUGAAGGCAGAAGCAAUGCUUGUCAACAGCAACCUAGUUUUUCAUUCAUAAAUAUGACUUGUUUAUCAAGGAUACAUUGGUACUCAAGGACUACAAACAUAAAACUGAAGGACUGAGAAGAAAAGACCACACUCAAUUACAGAAGAAAGAAAAAAAAUCCAGC
This is a long non-coding RNA of Tupaia belangeri chinensis (Chinese tree shrew), 342 nucleotides long. RefSeq lists it as uncharacterized. The transcript is spliced from 3 exons. The record is from RefSeq and is a predicted model, not a curated record. NCBI's taxonomy places the organism in Eukaryota, Metazoa, Chordata, Mammalia, Scandentia, Tupaiidae.